GGGGAAUAUUGCGCAAUGGGGGCAACCCUGACGCAGCCAUGCCGCGUGAAUGAAGAAGGCCUUCGGGUUGUAAAGUUCUUUCGGUAGCGAGGAAGGCAUUUAGUUUAAUAGACUAGGUGAUUGACGUUAACUACAGAAGAAGCACCGGCUAACUCCGUGCCAGCAGCCGCGGUAAUACGGAGGGUGCGAGCGUUAAUCGGAAUAACUGGGCGUAAAGGGCACGCAGGCGGUGACUUAAGUGAGGUGUGAAAGCCCCGGGCUUAACCUGGGAAUUGCAUUUCAUACUGGGUCGCUAGAGUACUUUAGGGAGGGGUAGAAUUCCACGUGUAGCGGUGAAAUGCGUAGAGAUGUGGAGGAGUACCGAAGGCGAAGGCAGCCCCUUGGGAAUGUACUGACGCUCAUGUGCGAAAGCGUGGGGAGCAAACAGGAUUAGAUACCCUGGUAGUCCACGCUGUAAACGAUGUCGAUUUGGGGGUUGAACUUUAAGUUUGGCGCCCGUAGCUAACGUGAUAAAUCGACCGCCUGGGGAGUACGGCCGCAAGGUUA
This 546-nucleotide ribosomal RNA is filed under the name uncultured bacterium. RNAcentral describes it as "bacterial SSU rRNA". It matches the Rfam family "Bacterial small subunit ribosomal RNA", at positions 356 to 896 of the family's 1533-position model. The record is from RNAcentral.